CCUACGGGAGGCAGCAGUGGGGAAUUUUGGACAAUGGGCGCAAGCCUGAUCCAGCAAUGCCGCGUGAGUGAAGAAGGCCUUCGGGUUGUAAAGCUCUUUUGUCAGGGAAGAAACGGCUGAGGUUAAUACCUUCGGCUAAUGACGGUACCUGAAGAAUAAGCACCGGCUAACUACGUGCCAGCAGCCGCGGUAAUACGUAGGGUGCAAGCGUUAAUCGGAAUUACUGGGCGUAAAGCGUGCGCAGGCGGUUUUGUAAGUCUGACGUGAAAUCCCCGGGCUCAACCUGGGAAUUGCGUUGGAGACUGCAAGGCUGGAGUCUGGCAGAGGGGGGUAGAAUUCCACGUGUAGCAGUGAAAUGCGUAGAGAUGUGGAGGAACACCGAUGGCGAAGGCAGCCCCCUGGGUCAAGACUGACGCUCAUGCACGAAAGCGUGGGGAGCAAACAGGAUUAGAUACCCUGGUAGUCCACGCCCUAAACGAUGUCUACUAGUUGUCGGGUCUUAAUUGACUUGGUAACGCAGCUAACGCGUGAAGUAGACCGCCUGGGGAGUACGGUCGCAAGNUAAAACUCAAAUGAGUGAGNGNGAGAGNGCGAGACGACGACGAGGGAGGAGG
This 614-nucleotide ribosomal RNA is filed under the name uncultured bacterium. Its description in RNAcentral is "bacterial SSU rRNA". It matches the Rfam family "Bacterial small subunit ribosomal RNA", at positions 338 to 944 of the family's 1533-position model. The record is from RNAcentral.